RNAcentral lists this unclassified non-coding RNA (241 nucleotides) under Hevea brasiliensis (rubber tree). Lineage: Eukaryota; Viridiplantae; Streptophyta; Magnoliopsida; Malpighiales; Euphorbiaceae. The record is from RNAcentral.
GUUUAGAGGGAAAAAGAGAGGGAGGGAGGGAGAGGGGAGGAGAAAAGAGAAAGUAUAAUACUAAUGAUUGGAUAACUAAAUGUAAACUUGAACUUUAACAUUUUACAGGUUAAAAGUUUAGAGAGAGAAAGUGAGUGAGAGAGGUUUCAUAAUCCCUAAAAGCUUCACUUUUCAACUCAUCAAAUUAAAUGGUUGGAAAUAUUUUGAUACCUUAUUUUUUGUUUUUCAUUUUCCAUUUUCU